This 449-nucleotide ribosomal RNA is filed under the name uncultured bacterium. RNAcentral describes it as "partial 16S ribosomal RNA". It matches the Rfam family "Bacterial small subunit ribosomal RNA", at positions 29 to 523 of the family's 1533-position model. The record is from RNAcentral.
AACGAACGCUGGCGGCAUGCCUAACACAUGCAAGUCGAACGAGAUCUUCGGGUCUAGUGGCGCACGGGUGCGUAACGCGUGGGAAUCUGCCCUUUGGUUCGGAAUAACAGUUGGAGACGACUGCUAAUACCGGAUGAUGACGAAAGUCCAAAGAUUUAUCGCCAGAGGAUGAGCCCGCGUAGGAUUAGCUAGUUGGUGUGGUAAAGGCGCACCAAGGCGACGAUCCUUAGCUGGUCUGAGAGGAUGAUCAGCCACACUGGGACUGAGACACGGCCCAGACGCCUACGGGAGGCAGCAGUGGGGAAUAUUGGACAAUGGGCGAAAGCCUGAUCCAGCAAUGCCGCGUGAGUGAUGAAGGCCUUAGGGUUGGAAAGCUCUUUUACCCGGGAUGAUAAUGACAGUACCGGGAGAAUAAGCUCCGGCUAACUCCGUGCCAGCCGCCGCGGUAA